GCCAGUGUGGUGUAGUGGUUUGAGCUUUGGACUACAACUCUGGAGACCCAGGGUUCAAAUCCUUACUUAGACA
This 73-nucleotide transfer RNA is filed under the name Phrynosoma platyrhinos (Desert horned lizard). Its description in RNAcentral is "tRNA-OTHER". Lineage: Eukaryota; Metazoa; Chordata; Lepidosauria; Squamata; Phrynosomatidae. The record is from RNAcentral.